Molecule: ribosomal RNA, 407 nt
Filed under: uncultured bacterium
Lineage: Bacteria
Description: bacterial SSU rRNA
Rfam family: Bacterial small subunit ribosomal RNA
Source: RNAcentral
GUAGGGAAUUUUGCGCAAUGGGGGCAACCCUGACGCAGCAACGCCGCGUGAUUGAUUAAGCCCUUCGGGGUGUAAAGAUCUGUCAGUGGGGACGAAAUAUGACGGUACCCACAGAGGAAGCACCGGCUAACUCCGUGCCAGCAGCCGCGGUAAUACGGAGGGUGCAAGCGUUGUCCGGAAUCAUUGGGCGUAAAGAGUUCGUAGGUGGCAUGUAAAGUCUGGUGUUAAAGGCAGAAGCUCAACUUCUGUAGGGCACUGGAUACUUGCAAGCUGGAAUGCGGUAGAGGUAAAGGGAAUUCCUGGUGUAGCGGUGAAAUGCGUAGAUAUCAGGAGGAACAUCGGUGGCGUAAGCGCUUUACUGGGCCGUAAUUGACACUGAGGAACGAAAGCCGGGGUAGCAAAUGGGA